CCUACGGGUGGCAGCAGUGAGGAAUAUUGGUCAAUGGACGAGAGUCUGAACCAGCCAAGUAGCGUGAAGGAUGACUGCCCUAUGGGUUGUAAACUUCUUUUAUAUGGGAAUAAUAUGUUCCACGUGUGGGAUUUUGUAUGUACCAUAUGAAUAAGGAUCGGCUAACUCCGUGCCAGCAGCCGCGGUAAUACGGAGGAUCCGAGCGUUAUUCGGGUUUAUUGGGUUUAAAGGGAUCGUAGGUGGAUUGUUAAGUCAGUUGUGAAAGUUUGCGGCUCAACCGUAAAAUUGCAGUUGAAACUGGCAGUCUUGAGUAGAGUAGAGGUGGGCGGAAUUCGUGGUGUAGCGGUGAAAUGCUUAGAUAUCACGAAGAACUCCGAUUGCGAAGGCAGUUCACUGGACUGCAACUGACACUGAGGCUCGAAAGUGUGGGUAUCAAACAGGAUUAGAUACCCGAGUAGUC
Molecule: ribosomal RNA, 460 nt
Filed under: uncultured bacterium
Lineage: Bacteria
Description: partial 16S ribosomal RNA
Rfam family: Bacterial small subunit ribosomal RNA
Source: RNAcentral